This 532-nucleotide ribosomal RNA is filed under the name Yarrowia lipolytica. Its description in RNAcentral is "partial large subunit ribosomal RNA". It matches the Rfam family "Eukaryotic large subunit ribosomal RNA", at positions 64 to 678 of the family's 3401-position model. The record is from RNAcentral. Lineage: Eukaryota; Fungi; Ascomycota; Dipodascomycetes; Dipodascales.
CCCUCGGGGGAUAGACUCAGUUACGGCGAGUGAAGCGGCAAAAGCUCAAAUUUUGAAACCCUCGGGAUUGUAAUUUGAAGAUUUGGCAUUGGAGAAAGCUAACCCAAGUUGCUUGGAAUAGUACGUCAUAGAGGGUGACAACCCCGUCUGCUAACCGUUCUCCAUGUAUUGCCUUAUCAAAGAGUCGAGUUGUUUGGGAAUGCAGCUCAUAGUGGGUGGUAAACUCCAUCUAAAGCUAAAUACUGGUGAGAGACCGAUAGCGAACAAGUACUGUGAAGGAAAGGUGAAAAGAACUUUGAAAAGAGAGUGAAAUAGUAUGUGAAAUUGUUGAUAGGGAAGGAAAUGAGUGGAGAGUGGCCGAGGUUUCAGCCGCCCCUCGUGGGCGGUGUACUGCCGACGCCGAGUCAUCGAUAGCGAGACGAGGGUUACAAAUGGGAGCGCCUUCGGGCGUUCUCCCCUAACCCUCCACACUGCCACCGACGACAUAAUCCACCCAUUUCACCCGUCUAAAAACGGGGACCAAAAAGUUAAA